Molecule: long non-coding RNA, 573 nt
Filed under: Coccomyxa subellipsoidea
Lineage: Eukaryota; Viridiplantae; Chlorophyta; Trebouxiophyceae; Coccomyxaceae
Description: long non-coding RNA (CSUB_LNC000092)
Source: RNAcentral
GCACGCACCGGGUACUGUGCCUCGGUAGUCUCACACAUUCUUUUGCUAGGAUGUAAGCGGGAAUGUCCCAAAUUGUUUGGGAUUGGAAAAGCAGCGGUUCAAGAACACGUAGUAUUAUGUGCCUCUGUAUGAAUCGCCACCUCAGCAAUUCUCAGUCUAUAUGAUGCUAUAACUCUGCAGAUUUGUCCAAUACUGUUUGCCAUCUUUUCAUUGAAUCCUGUAAGAUGCAAGAAACGGACGAAGUGUCCUCCUUGGCUUCGGCAUGGCUGCCUAGCGCCCAAAGAAAGCUCCUGGCUUCUGGGGUGCUUGCCACAGUCCUUGCUCUCUCCGAGCUGUACAAUGGAUCUGUAUCAAAAGUAUUACGAUAUGUCAAGAGGUACGCUGCCCCAGACGUCUGCUCAUCCAAGCCAAACACACCAGAUCAGCCUUGUACAUGGGACGGGCAACCAGUCGGUUGGCGCAUGUCAAUAAAAUCUCGAUACAUGCUCAUGGAAGUAUGCAUCUUCCUGCAGGGGUUGUGCCGCUGCUUUUGCUCAGUGGAUCGAAGACCAGGGCGGCUUCCCUCUGUUCACA